RNAcentral lists this ribosomal RNA (497 nucleotides) under uncultured bacterium. RNAcentral describes it as "partial 16S ribosomal RNA". It matches the Rfam family "Bacterial small subunit ribosomal RNA", at positions 28 to 507 of the family's 1533-position model. The record is from RNAcentral.
GAUGAACGCUGGCGGCGUGCCUAAUACAUGCAAGUCGAGCGAACAGACGAGGAGCUUGCUCCUCUGACGUUAGCGGCGGACGGGUGAGUAACACGUGGAUAACCUACCUAUAAGACUGGGAUAACUUCGGGAAACCGGAGCUAAUACCGGAUAAUAUAUUGAACCGCAUGGUUCAAUAGUGAAAGACGGUUUUGCUGUCACUUAUAGAUGGAUCCGCGCCGCAUUAGCUAGUUGGUAAGGUAACGGCUUACCAAGGCAACGAUGCGUAGCCGACCUGAGAGGGUGAUCGGCCACACUGGAACUGAGACACGGUCCAGACUCCUACGGGAGGCAGCAGUAGGGAAUCUUCCGCAAUGGGCGAAAGCCUGACCGAGCAACGCCGCGUGAGGGAUGAAGGUCUUCGGAUCGUAAAACUCUUUUAUUAGGGAAGAACAAAUUUGGAAGUAACUAUGCACGUCUUGACGGUACCUAAUCAAAAAGCCACGGCUAACUACGUG